AUGGAUGAAUACGCUAAGUGUUUGGGCCAUGGCAGUCUGGCGAGAGCUUACGAUCAUUUAUGCACUCUGACAGAUAAUAAUUUGGUGCAAGCUUUUUUUGCGGCCUGUGAACGUAUAGCAGAAGAAGCUAUCUUCUCUGCUGUAAGUAAUUUUUCAAUGAUUUCAAAAGAAGCUUAUGAAAAUUGCUUCGAUGCUGCAGUAUCUGAUUAAUCGAUAUAACAAACUGGGAAAAAAAUUAAAAAGAACAGAUGAAAACUUUGCUGUAUUUUCUCUUCUUGCAUAAUCUAGUUAGAAUAAUGUAUGAAUAAAACUUUAGCAUAUUAUUUUAAAUUUAAAACAUACAGGAUAUUAAAGAUUUGAUUUUCAAUAAUU
Molecule: long non-coding RNA, 372 nt
Filed under: Androctonus crassicauda
Lineage: Eukaryota; Metazoa; Arthropoda; Arachnida; Scorpiones; Buthidae
Source: RNAcentral